This 23-nucleotide non-coding RNA is filed under the name Arabidopsis thaliana (thale cress). The record is from RNAcentral. Lineage: Eukaryota; Viridiplantae; Streptophyta; Magnoliopsida; Brassicales; Brassicaceae.
UCGUUUUAAGUAUUAGGGUUUCA